This is a long non-coding RNA of Aethalodelphis obliquidens (Pacific white-sided dolphin), 1010 nucleotides long. RefSeq lists it as uncharacterized. Lineage: Eukaryota; Metazoa; Chordata; Mammalia; Artiodactyla; Delphinidae. The record is from RefSeq and is a predicted model, not a curated record. The transcript is spliced from 3 exons.
UUUUUAUCCCCUUCACUGGGAGCUGGUUUGGGAACUGCAACCGGGAAGUAUAGGAAGAGGGGAGGCCAAGAUGGUGGGGUAGGAAGACUCUGAGCUCGCCUGCUCCCACGGGAACACCCAAAUCACAACUAUUUACAGAGCAACUAUGGAUAAGAAUGACCUGAAGACUAGCAGAAAAGAUCUACAACUAAAGAUAUAAAGAAGGAGCCACAAUAAGAUGGUAGGAGGAGUAAAGGCACAAUGUAGUCAAGACUCACACCCCCAGUCUUGGGAGAUUUGGAGCAAUUCCUAUGAAAAUCCAGCUGAAGUAAUUGGCGGAUGAGAAACAGUGACAAGGGCUGCCUUAGCUGGGCUCAAAUCCUGAACCAUAUUCAGGAAAAAGUUCUGUUAUCUACAGGAGGGAAAAAAAUGACUGCCCAUCCAUUUAACCUCUAUAUUACUCUGCCUCAUGUGUGUUCUGUAAGAUCUGUAAAAAGAAUGGUGUCCAGCUUGCAUCUCUGGAGUAAAACUACUUACUGUGGACAUACCCAGUGCACAAAUUACACAGGGAACUAUAGUCAAUAUCUUGAAAUAACGUAUAAUGGAAAAGAAGCUGAAAAAGAAUACAUAUGUUCACUUUGUUGUACAUUUGAAACUAACACAAUUUUGUAAGUUAACUACACUUCAAUAAAAAAAAAAUUUUUUUAAAGGGAGCCCUACCUAUGCUCAUCUAUGCUGGAUGAUUAUGGUCCCCAAUAUGUGAAAUAUUUUAAAGUUUGGUAUAGAUAAACAGAAAUAAUCUCAAACUGUAGUUUUCCUUCGAUAGAUCUUGAAACAUCUAAGGAAAAUCAUGGAAUGGAAUCAUGCCUUUUUUGCCUAUAUGGAUUGAUGGUGUGUGUGUGUGUGUGUGUGUGUGUAGUUGGGGGAGAUGAAACUUACUACCAAAUACCCAAGAUCUCAUUGAGGACCUCAAGGAAAAAAUCUCAGUGGACACCUCCUCAAGUAAUUGUAAAAUCCUUCUGGAAAAUGGC